Equus caballus (horse) is the source of this 16363-nucleotide long non-coding RNA. The record is from Ensembl. Lineage: Eukaryota; Metazoa; Chordata; Mammalia; Perissodactyla; Equidae.
CCUGAAGAAGUAGCGAAUGGGGGGAGGAGAAACACUCCUCUGACUCAGAACUGGUGAGCAAGAGUCAGUCAUCGGCUUGUGUUCUGGGAAAAAUGGAGGUUCUUCUUUUGAGCCUAGAGAUGAAAAGACAGCCUGGGACCAUAGGCAGAGAAAACUUGUUGAAACUAAGGAAGGCAAUGCAAUGACUUUCCCAGACAUGGGAAUCCCCAGGCAAGGCAGACACAAUCCAGCCUGCAGCAUCGUCCAGCUGGGACAGGGGUAAUAUCUUCGUGAUCUCGUCUUGGCAUUAGGAUCUGCAGGCACAGCUGUCAGCAACCCAGCGGAGGUCCCCAUUCUCAUGGAGCUUAAGAGCUGGUUGGGGGAACUAGGUGUUAGCAGAUGCCGACUCCAGAGGGUGUUCGACAGAUGCCUUCUGAGGUAGGUCCUCGAGGAGCAGAGCAGUCCUGGGUCUUCAGGGAAGUGGCUCCGAGAGUCGUGAAUCAGGCUGACCCUACAGACGGCGGCACUCAGUCAGACUACAUCCACUCCCACAGGGAGCUAAGGGAUGGUGGAGAAGGCUGUGUUUUUCAACAAAGUUUGAAGAGACAGCUUUUUAAUUUCAAAAUACAAUUGUUGCACGUUUAAAUUUUCUCAAGGGGAAGGAAAAGCUCCAUGAAGCGGUGUUUGGUAAAACAUCUUCCAUGAUCCCCUCCCCACCACCCUACCCUGGCGGCUGUGGAGUCAGAGUGAGCAUGGCUCCCUGCUUUCCAUCCACGGGGGAUGCAAGGCCAUAGACAAGUGUGUCUUCUGGCCCCAGGACUCUUGAAUAUUUUGGCACAUUUUCACUGUCUCUGGGAAACAAGCCUAAUGACACACUCAGUAGAGAUUGUCAAGCGCAUUAUAGAGACAGGAUGGAAUGCAAAGUAAAGUGUGCUUUCCCGGGCCAGCUCCUGGGAACACGACUCGAAUAAGAAAUUCCUGGUGAGAACUGGCCUUUUCCCAUCUCUCCUUUUUCUUUAGCAUUCUUUGCUCACUCUUCAACUAUUUAAGACUAGAUUAUAACAACGUUCUGGUAAAUUCAAGACAUACUUUGCAAAGAGUGCAAACAAAAUUGAACUUACUCAUCCUUCAGCAGCCAUGGGUAUCAAAUUUUUGUCUGGCAAAUCAUAAUAAUUUUAAAACAAAUUAGACAUCUUGGUUCUCCCAUUUCCUUUCUCAGACUGACAAAUCAUUAAAAAAUUCCUUUGAAUAGACUGCUUUAAAAUAUUCUUCUGAUAAGCAGGGGUCUCCUCCUGCCAGGCACCACCAGGCAAGUCACCCACCGCCGGCGCCUUGCGGGCGCCAUGGGCCACACGCAGCAAUUUCACUGUGGGCUCUCUGUCUUGGCUUGGGCCAUUACUCCGGACUUCGUUUUUGCUUAAACUUUCCAUUUCCUAUUGCCUGUGACGACAUAUCAUUAUUUACCACCUAUGAUUUCUAGUUUGUUCAAAAUUCCUGUGGAGGUGAGAGGGAGUUAAUGGGUGUAUUUAGGGACCUAACAGAAGAGCUGCUUCCUCCUGAGCCUCCGUGGGGAGCUGGGGGUCCUUGACUUUAUGCUGUAGACCAAGAUAAAGCCAUUCACACAGCCCAUGUGGCCUCAUUAAGAGCAUUUUAUCAGUUUGUGUGCCAGAUGAGGAAACGCUUCUGAUGUGACUGGAAAGUAAUAAAAUUUGACUCUUAUUCCCUAAGAUUGGGAAUAAAGAGAAAGAUAGCUGACAAAGAGAACAGUAAAGGCCAUCAGGUCUGACACAACCUAAAAAUAGAGAAAUGGUCAUUCUGAGGACCAGCUUGAAGGGCCGGAGGCACUGCUCAUGGAGGAAGCCGUGUGCCAGCUGGAAGGAUCAACCGUGAUAGAUUGUAUGAGGACCCAUGGAGGCCCUCUUAAUGGAAGAGCUAUGUGACCUCCAUCCCACUCUUAAUUGUAGCACGUUCUUGGCUAUUGACAGCAUCACAGCUUAAGUGUGGGAGGCUGGCUCGAAAGGCCAGUCUGGCCCAUGCAGGGUCUGCUGGAUUCGUCUCUGAGUUUGGAUGCUGGAGCCUUGCCCUGGUCCUCGGUGUCAUGGCGACUGCUCGGCGUUCACCCUGAAUGCUGACCCUAUUGGAAGGUCUCCCCUACUUGCUGAAAGCUGAAGGAGCCCAGUCCACACAGAUCUUCAGAUCCGCCGUAACAUCCUUAUAAGAACAUACCCUUAAAUCCCAUGUUGAAAUCAUUCCUAGAUUUCAUUUUUGGGUGUGGAAUAUUGAUAAUUGAUUUACUCAUUUCAGAAAGGGACCGACUCCCUCAAUCCUGGCAGCCUGUGGCUUUUCACCCAUGCUCACAUGGGAUCCCCCUCAUGUGGGUGACUUCAUCGCUGUUAUCAUCACAAUACCCAGUUAGUAUUAUCUGUGCCCAGCACUGUACCAACCACAUCACCCCAGACUUCAUUUUCUCUUCACAGCUCCUCUCCGGCGUUGGUCCACUGAGUUUCACUAAAUCAUGGAUGAGGAACUAAGGUACAGAGUGGUUAGUUAACUUGCCCGAGACGUCGCAUUUAGUCUGUGCUGGAUCCUAAACCUGAGCUCCCGUUUAAGGAGCAGUGCCAUGCAGCUCAGGGACUUCUGCCUCUGGCUCUCCUGGAAGUCUGCGCUCAGCUCUUACUCAAAUGUGGGAUCUGAGAAAGUUCCCCCACUUCUCUGAGCUUCAGUUCCAUCAUCAAGGAAGGCGGAACGAUGAUAGAACCGGAAAAAAUCUACGUGAAGUCAUUGACACAGAACCUGGCACAUGGGAUGCACUCAGUGGAUAUUCUCCACCAUUCUGCUCUGCUCUGCUGUCUAUAAAAUGCUUUUGUGACCUAUGUCUAUACUAGGUAGCAGAUAGAUAGCGAUGAAAGAUAGAUAAUAAAUAGACAGAUAGAUAGAUAGGUAAUUUUACCCUCCCCUCCUUAGCCAGACUGGAAUCAUAAGGGCCAAGGAAUAUUACCUUUGUUUAUAUUCCCACACAUGAUUUCUGUACUUACUUCUCAGGAAAUGGGUAAUGGGUAAAUGUAUUUUUAUCUUCUUACUGAUUACUAUCUCAACUAUCUCAGGCUGGUUAUGAAAUACUUUCUACAUUAAGGAGGGCCUCGCUGCAGGACUGCAGGCCUACUGUGAGGUGCUGGAUUUGCCCCAAAGAGGACUGCAUUAGUCAGGUUCUCCAGAGAAACAGAACCAACGGGAUGUAUAUGGACAUAUAUAAGAGGUGAUUUAUUAUAGGAGUUGGUUCACGUGGUUAUGAAGGCUGAGAAUUCCAUGAUAUGGGGCCUGCAAGCUGGAGGCCCAGGAAAGCUGGUGGUAUAACUCAGUCAGAGUCCUAAGGCCCAAGAACCAGGACCACUGAUGUCUGAGGGCAGGAGAAGAUGGACAUCCAAGCUCAAGAAGAGAAGGAGAGGAAUUUGCCCUUCCUUCACCUUUUUUGUCCUACUGGGGCCCUCAAAGGAUUGGAUGAGGCCCACCUGCAUUGGUGAGGACGAUCUUCUUUACUCGGUCAUCUGAUUUAAAUGUUUCCAUCCAGAAACACCCCCACAGCACACCCGGAAAUCAUGUUUAAGCAGCUGGCUGGGUGUUCCUCAAUCCAGUCAAGUUUACACAUAGAAUUGCCUUCACAAGUACUUAGUAGAGCGUGGCUGAUCAUGACUCCCUUGGAGAGCCACCUGUUUCUGGUGGUCAUUAACACACAGUAAUCAGGUCAUCUGUGCAGUCUGAACCUUUACCCUUCAAACGGCCUCAACUGGGAUUUCCUGGGUCUUCUUUAAGGAUGAAGGAGGGGAGCCCACCUUGACCAACCCGCAUUGCAUCAGAGCAACGUGAACGCCAGCACCAAUGAGCCAGCCUCCAACCUGUCAAGACUUUUCGAGAUUUUAAGUUGAGGACACAGAAAUAAAGCACGAGAAUAUACAAUAAGGGUAUUUUUUUUUUUAAAGAAAAGGGUUUAUAUCUGAAGACACAAGUAAAAUGCUACACUUUGACUCUUCAACCACUUAAAUUUUAAAUAUACAAGGAAAAUUGGCAUCGUUUUAGAUCCAAUUUAUUCUCCGUGAACUUUGAGCACAUCACACAGUGAAACUAUCCCCUGGGCCUGCACUGAGUCAAUCUCCUCCUUUUAAGUAUUGAGCUAAGAAAGCAUGAGAACCCAAAAGAACCCUUUCAGAAUCAACCAACAGUAGAAGGGGCUUUGGUAAGAAAAAGUGAGCCAAAAAUGAAUAAAGUUGAAUGUAAUACCCACUAAUGAGCCAAAGGCCUUAAGUCUACAUGAAGGCAAAGUAGAAGGACACUGACAGGAGUACACCAGCGUUGGCCUGGCCAUUGGGGACAUUUUUAUUAAUAGAUCAGAGAAGACUUUAAUUUGCACCAACUGACACACUAUGAAAUGAGUAUUGGAUGAGGUAUCUCUAAUUCCGUAAGAGAACACAAUUUUUAGGAUCCUUUUAAGUUAACGUAUUUGCAUCGACAAUCAUACCUCUUUGUGAACGUGUAACACCGAAAAGAAAAAAUAAUUUAGAAUUCUUACUUCCAAAAUUUGAACAUGAUUAAUUUUUAUUAAUAUAGGGGCUUAUAAAGUAAGGAAUAGAUUUCUAUUAUUUUUAAAAACAAGCAAGAUUUAAGCUGAGAUCCUGUCAUGAGUUAAAAACGCAAUAGGACGUUGGAAAGGCAGACCCCGUUUCUCUAGCCGGAUGCCCACUUAUGUUUCGAGGGGCAGCACCCAUGGCUGGCGUCACAUGGCUUCUUGCAAGCGUCAGCCUGUUCUGAUGCAUCUGAAGACGCACCUUUUCCUUUAUAACCACUGAGUUGUUUGUUAACAUUUAUCCAUGUCUCAUAGGUGUGCAGGCCACCGAGCCAGGCCCAGGGUCAGUUCUCUGCUUUUUAUUUAAAGACAGAUAUGAGAAAUGAAUAGAAGAGUUUUAGAAAAUGCAAUGCUAUGCCUUUUCUCAAACAACCUGAAAUCUUGACGAGUCACAUUUUAUAAAAAAUAAGAAAGCAACCCUAAACCACAAAUCUCAUGAAUUUAUAGCAAAUGCUCUUCUAAACUCCGUAAUUGGAAAAUAGAGCAGUUAUUUCUACUGAGUAACUUUCAAAAAGCAUCAGUAGGAAGAUCACUAAUAUGUCAUUUAAGUGGAAGAAUAAACAGUGUUUUGUUUCUCACAGCCCCCUGGUCAUCAUUCAGUGGGCUUCCCAGUAGCUCCUUCUAGCUGUGAGGUCAGUUUGCCCUUGGCCCCCACAUCUUCCUCUGAUGGUAAUGCCCCUUCCCUCUGACACAUCGGUGUCUGAGUCGAGUUGUAGGUAGAGGGGUUUCUAAGAAGGGUUGUAACAGGAUCUAACACAGGGUCCCCUGAGAUGGGAGGAGAGAAUGGAGAUUCCUCUCCUAGCACUGUAUGUGGCUCAGAGCACUCAAUAACUGUCAGCACUGGUCCAGUCCCACAGCUGUUAGAUGGGGACACAGGCUCCGAGAGGCCCUGGUUUGGCCAGGGUCACACGUGCCCACUGCUGCCUCCCCUGCUUGGGCAGCUGUCAUGUGGUGGAAGGAACCACACAGCCUGUGGCCACUGAGCCACUUUAUUCUUCCAUUUGUCUCUGCGACUCACGAUAGCACACCACGAAAGAUCAAAGAAAAUAAGUUAAAUAAAAAUACAGCCCAUGGAUUCCUUUCUGGAGAACGUUAUGUGUAUUCUUCCUGUGCCUUCAGAGACUCCUGUUUGCCAUGUUAAUCUUUCCCCACUUUUCUUAGAAAAAUAUGGUGCAGGUGCCCGUGCAGAUGGAAGCUGCCUGGAGCAGGUGAGCUGCAUGUUUGAGAAUCAGCCCCUCCCAGGUAGGAGCCCUGGCACUCCUCAGGACAGACACUUAGGCUCCAGGACCUCAAGGUUGGGGGAAAGACCAAAUCUAAACAUUGCUGGUGCUACAACUACCACCACCCACCCCUCCCAGAGAGACCAGGCUUGAGUCCUUCUGGGUCAGCACGCCCCCUGGCUGUGGGGUUUUGUUCUGGAUCCUGUGGAUCGGUUCAUAGCAUGGCCCUUUGCCGGCCGUGUCCUCUUCAUGUGGUCAGCCAGUGGGGACACGCACCCUCCUGGUGGCCUGCCUGGGGCUCUGAGAAUCUUGGAUCACCUUCAAAAUGCACUCAAAUCAUUUUUGGCUCCUUCCUGUGUUCAGUCAACACAAAUAAGCCUUGGAAGGCCCAGCACGGUGUGCCCAGCUGUGCAUCAGAGGAAAGUUGAUAAAUAAAUACGAUGCCACCACCGGAGAAAAUGUCCAAAUUGGUCAGAAAGACCAAGAAAUAGGAAAGUGUGAUAAAUUCUGUUUGUGAGUGUACAAAGUAAAAGGCACAGCUCAGGAGGAAGCAGCUCCUCAUAAAGUGACAGCUGUGAGGAUGUUGAAACUGUGAGGAGAAGAGGCUCAGGAGGGUGGGACUGUGGGCUCCUGCGGGACUGUGGGAAGGGGGGUUCUGUGGAGGGCUGGGAACACAAGGGAUGUGCAUGGCUGAAGGAUGGUCCGUGGCGGCCACACAGAAUCGGACACAAUUGCAUUUGCCCUGGUUCUACUGGUUAAUGGCUGUAUGACUCAAGGAAAUAAUAUGACCCCUCUGGGCCUCCGUGUCUUCAUCUAUGACUGGAAAUACAAAUGCCUACUUGCAGUUGGAUGUAAGGACUCAAAUGGGAAGCACUUGGCACAGCAGUCAUGGCGGCAGACAGUGUCAUUCGAUGAGUGGUAGCGAUAGCUGUCAUUGCUUCACCAACAAACCUGCAUGUGUUUACUUCUGUUGAAUGUAUUCAUGGUUCCAGGUGCUCAGAAUUUAUCAGUUAAAAUAUCCAUAAAGAUCCUGGGUAGAAUUCCCUGUACAGUUUACAUUCUACAAGCAGAAACAGCCAAAGAGAAUAAACAUAAGUAAGCAAACUGCACGGUAUGUUAUUAGGUGGUGAGUGCCUUGGAGAAUCCUUUCUGGGGGGAGGAGGAGAGAGAGUGCGUGAGGAGGUGCUGGAGAGAGUAAAUGCACCAUCAGGGGAUGCCUUCCUGGGAAGGGGAUGUGAGGAUGUGAGAGGCAGCCAUGCGCACAUCUGGAGGAAGAGAGCUGAGACAGAGGAGAAGGGAGUGAUCGAGUACGGUAAAUGCUGCUUGUAGAUCAAGAAAGAUUAAGUCUGAAACUAAUCAUUGGGUUUAGCUAGGUCACGGCAUUGGCAGCAGUGAGAGGAGCAGGUUCAGUGGGGUGGUGAGGCUGGAAGUCUGGACUGGGGUAAGAGAGGAUUGAGGAGAGAAACUCGUGAUGGCAAGAGGACAUAGCAGUUCCAGGAGAUUCACUGCAAAGGGGAGGUGAGAAAUGGGAAGGUAGCUGGCAAGAAAGUGUGGUCCAAAGGAAUGUUCUGUUCUGUUUUGUUUUGAUUGUGUCUUAAAAUGGGACAGAUAACAGCAUGUGUGCUUGCUGAUGGGAAAAAUCCAGCAGAAAAACAAUGAUGCAGGGAAAAAAAGCAGAGAUUUAUUGGAGGAACACUGUUGAGAGGGCAAGAUGAAAUAGGGUCUCAUGCACAAGGAAAGGGAUCUGCUUUUGAUCAGGACAAGGACACUUCAUCAUGGUUAUCAGGGAGGAAGGAAGGAUUCAGGGGUACAGAUGCUGUGAGAUAAGUGGAUAUGACAGUGGGAGCAGGUGGGGGCUUUCUCCAGAUUUCUUCAAGUUUCUCAGAGAACAGGAGAGUGGCGCUGGCAGCUGAGAGCGAGGAUGAGGUCAGAACGGCUGUAGACUGAGGAGAGAGGAGAAAGCACAAAGUAGUAACCUAGGAAAUUGGGAGGGUGAAUGGACAAGGGAGAUGGAGUCUGGCCAAUGGGUGGCGCUGAGCUCCCUGCUGGGGUUGGCGUUUAUGCUCCAGGGUUUUGAGAGCUUUUCACCAGCUGUGGUCAGUCGCAUAAUUGCAGACAUGGAGUUGGAAGAGAGAGUGGUUUAAUCAGAGUCCUGAUUUAACCAAGCAAGUCAACAAAGCAAGAGAGAUCCAAAAGCGUUGAGAUUGCAGGAAAGGCGGUGUUUCACGGAAAUUAAAUAGGGUAAGAUUGGGAGACUGGACAUCAGGAGGAUGGGUGACUGACCCCAAAGUGGUGAUAAGGGUCAACAGACCAGAGGUCUCAGUAAGACCAAAGGAGUGUUGGCACACCUGACCAGAGGGAAUGAGCUGGAAAUAUGGGGGACGGGUUGAUGACUGGGGCACAGAAACUGAGAUUGUGAGGGGGCUGUAGCUGUUGACAAUGACAAAGAUGUGACCAUGCAACAUAGUGCUGAGGCAGCUGGAGGACAAGACGCUGAGUCCAAGAAAUUGAAAGCCAGGGUAUUAUAAAGAGGAUGCACGCGGUUAGUGAAACUGCCAAGAAAUUUUACGAGUCAGUAUUGGGUGGUCACAUGGGUUGUUAUUCUUUCUAGCUUAUUGCUUUAGCAGAUGUGAAAGUCCCCUCCCUCACAGUGUGUCCCGUGGGGUCACAGAGAGGAAGGUGGGGGAGUCCCAGAAAUCAACAUCUUUUGUGGACUGAAUUGUAUCUUCCCCAAAUCCAUAUGUUGAAGCCCUAACUCCCAUUGCUACUCUAUUUGGAGAUGGGGCCUUUAAGGAGGUAAUUAAGGUCAAGCGAGAUCAUGAAGGUGGAGCCCUGAUUCAAUAGGGCUGGUGCCCCUAUAAGACGAGGAAGCACUCUCUCUCUCUUUCCACACACGCACUGAGCACAUGGAGAAAAGGUGGCCGUCUGCAAGCCAGGAAGAGAGGCCUCACCAGAAACCAACACCACUGGCAUCUUGAUCUUGAACUUCCAGCCUCCAGAACUAUGAGAACAAAUGUCCCUGGCUGUGGUGUUUCCUUACGGCAGCCCGAGCCAAGUCAGCAUCUCUCUUUGAUCCCUGACUUCAGGUCACUGACUUGGGUUCUCUCUUCAGUUUGGAUGAUUAACUACUCCGAACCUGUAAUUCAGACCACAGGCUUCAGAAGACCUUGGCUCUGGAGAGAGGGAAAUACUCACCAAAACAACCAAACAACCAUGCUCCAGCUCUCCAGGUGCGGCCAGACCACCCUGAUGGUGUGAAGCAUCUUUCGACUCUCUGGCUAUUGAAUCAGGAAGAGUUGUGAACGAGUGCCACUCUGAGGUCGUACAGUGUGGACACCACAUGCUGCAGCUUCCGUCUGAAGCUGAGCUGGACUCGGAUCCCGGCUCCUCUCCUUCCUAUCUUGUGACUUCUGAGAACACGGCUUUUCUUUCUCAAUUUUAAGAUCCUGGAAGUGGGAGCACCUGUCUCGUUAACCUCAUAUGAAGAUGAAAUGAGAUGGUAGGGGGGUAACUUCUUGUCACACACAGGGCCUGGAAUAUUGCAAACCCUUUGUUUCAUUGGGAUACAGGCUUGGCUGGUGUGACAAGGGCACCAAAAAUGCAGAUUCCCAAGCAAAAUAGAUGGCUAGUUGUCUCCCACAUCAUUAUCCCCAGGAAGACAGCUGGUCCCCCAGUGGGUGGGCAGUUCUGCUUUACCAGGUCAUCAGGGUACCAAGUUUGUGUUCUGACAUUCUUCAGCAUGCGAUUCUCAAAGCUGCUCGUCAGCAUCAUGCCCAAAUUCCAGUCCACAGGAAGAGGAGGCGAAUUGAGCACAGACACAGAGGACCAGCACGUUGCUUUUACAUGUGUAGACAUGACACACACUUCUGCUCAAAUCGCAUCUGGAAGAAAUUAACCAACGGUCCCACUUAGCUGCCAGGAGGCUAUGACGGUGGUGGUCACAUCUCUGCUAAAUUCAGGUAGGAGGCAGAGGGGGAGGGUCCCAUGACUACAAGGAAGGAGGGAUAUCCCAAGACAGUUAUUCAUCUUGUUAUGGAUAUUUAGAAAUGUUGCACACCUGUAUUUCUUACUUUUCUCAUUACAAGGUGAUUCAUGGGAGAUGUCCAAGAACACAAGUACAUUUUUCUCAAAACACAGUUCUUUUCUUGGAGAAUGACUCAGACACUUCCUCCCAGGGACACGAUGCUGUGGCUGGUGCUCUGUUCUUGUUGUGAUCUUAGGAAAGUCUACAGAAAAGGUGCAGCCGAGAGACUGCUCCUUUGUAACACGCAGUAGCAGAAAGUAUACCAAAGGAAAGGACAUCAUCAACACCCACGACCAUAUCUUGUCUUUGCGUUACGGAUUCUGGGAGCUUUUGUGGACUUCUGGAAAAACGAUCACUAUUGCUGGAUUCUUUUUUUCAAUGGAAAAUAAUUAACGUUAAUUGCUAAACAACUUCCCGACAUUGGUAGCAUGAUUCAGCUCUGAAUUUCCAGGAGCCAUUAUGAGAAUUGGGUAGACUCUUCUCUUUGAAAACUUGCGUUAGUUGUGGAUUCCUUGCUUCAGACAGAAUGAACCUUGUCUAAUGGUGCUGAGUCUCCAACCACUGCACGUUUUCAAACGUUGACUAAUUACCGAGGGUGUAAACAGUUUUAAUGACCCGUUGGCCAAGGUGACCUCUGAACUUCGGUAGUUCAGGGAUGUCUGUGUCUCCUAAGGUAUAGUCUGAAAACUCUUGCAAGCCUGCUAGGAACAAAGACUUCCCAACAGCAUCCUGGCUUAUGAGUAUAAAUCCUCAGCACUCUCCACAGGAGUGUGACAUUACUGAAUAAUCUGUCACCUUCAAACCAGCCACAAAGAAAGUUCCAGGCUGUCCUUUAGAAAGAGGGUCAGCAGAACAAUUGCUUUGGGUUAACUUUGGGUUUGGAGUGUUGCAAACCAUCCAUUAUCUGUUAGACUGUGAUUUUAAUUGUCCAUCAUCUGUGUUUGAGUUUGUAUAGCUUCACACUGUCAAAGCUGAUGGCUGUGUUUUUCCUCUUUCUUUUUGGAGGUCCCAAGAGAGUCAGUGGGGAGCGUGGCUGUCUGAGCCCACAUCCCCCAGCGGAUGCUGCUCUCUGCUCUCGGCUGCCUGGUCUCCAGCGGCUGCCACGUUGCUAGAACUUCUGGCAGCAGGAGGUUGAAACCCACGUCUGCUGGCGCCAGUCCCAGAGCUACAGGAAGUCUCCAAAUGUUUUUUUUUUUUCUUAACAGACAAAAAAAUUUUUGACUCGGGAAUGAUUUCCAGGAAUUACAGUAUGAGAUCUUAGUCUGUGAGAUUUUAAUUUUCUUCUUAAGAAAAUCAAAAUGAAAUCAACCAGACUGAACACACCACGGGCGGGCACAUUUCACUUUGUAACGAACAGUGAACGUUUUCCCCUUCACCUCCCUCGGAGCGGGAGGAUGAGUUUAAUAGCUUUUCCUCAGCGGAGAGCGAGAGGAGGGAGGUAACGCUGGAUCAGAGGGGCAGGGAGGCCCUGGGAAAGGCCAUUUCUCUGCUUUCUUCUCAGAGCUCUGUCGCUGCCAGAAGGUUCUGAGCAUUGCCCCUCCUCUUCUCUCUCGAGAUCAUGGUCCUCCCUCAGGACGAGCGGGAAAGGCUCAGCAAGCCAUUCAGUCCUCAGGGAAAGUUCCGUGCUGCCUUGAUCAGGAAGGAGAUGGGGAUGGGGCUGUCCAGGUGGUGUCAGGCUCAGAGGAGGCAGGGCCUUUGGUACGUGUCACACCCACGAGGAAUCUGAGAAACCCACACGGUCGCCUGUCACGUUUCCGUCUCUGACUGACCCUGUGUGCAUUCAGAGUCGGUUAAAGGAGCUCGGUCCAUCUGGUCAUCAAUGAUGACGUGGUCUCUGACUGUGACUUCAGACAGGUGCUGUGCCCUCUGAGGACAUCCCUAUCAGGCCCGUGGGGUGAAUACACUGGCCUCACUGCUUUGACACGAAUCUGUGAACACGUGAGACCCAAGGUGAGGGGAAGCAUUGGUAAGGCGCGAAGGGCGCCACAGGUGUGAGCGAUUCCUGUUACUUUCCAAGUCAUCUCCGCUCCCUCCGAGAGGAAAAGGGCUGCCCAUAGCCCCCGAUGGCUUGUAGAAAUCCUUGGCUGUGGGGCUGGAACCUCUGUGUCUCCUUCACGGGAUGCAGGAUCAUGAGCGGUUACCAGUGUGAGCCACAGGAGGGAGGUCAUUGCGACCAAACUAACGCGCAGUAAACGUGAUCCCUGUGUGGCCAAAGGCCACGGAAGGCUGAGCGGUUCCCAUAAGCGCCUCCUCCAUGAGGACCCUGAGAUGACAUACACGUAAAAAAUUGACUGAAUGUUCUAGAAUCUUCUGUCUCUUUGGUAAUAACUAACUCUCAGAAAAAAACAUAUAUUUCAAGUUUACGAGGUCUACAGUUUUCCAAGUCUGUUGACAACUGUGCUUUCGUUACCUGUUUCUGCCUGACAACCUACCUCAAAGUAGCUUCAACUAAGUUUAUUAUGUCGCACGAUUCCUGAGGGUCAGGAAUCAGGAGCAACUUGGCCGGCUGGGUGGUUCUGGCUCUGGGUCUUUCUCUGUCUCUGUCUGCCUCUUGGUCUCUCUUUGUCUCUGUCUCUCGUGUCUCUCUCUUUCCCUCUUGGUCUCUCUCUGUCUCUCUCUGGAUCCUCCAUGAAGGUGGGGUUUAUCCGUGUGCCAGCUUGCAAGUGUAUUCGGGAUGUAGUGUUGUUCCCGGCUGAUAGUAAACAUUCAGUAAAUACCUAUUAAAAGAACAACAGAGGAAGCUGAACAGCAUCUGGGUUAGGCAACGGCUGUCCGUGCAAAGUCCCUGUGACGGUCCACACUCCUCUGCCUCAGUCUCACACGUUGACUUGGACUCCUGCAGGCUUUCUAUUAAGACUUGUGCCAAUGUUAACACCUUUUCUUUUUUUUUUGAGGAAGAUUAGCCCUGAGCUAACUGCUGCCAAUCCUCCUCUUUUUGCUGAGGAAGGCUGGCCCUGAGCCAACAUCCGUGCCCAUCUUCCUCCACCCUACAUGUGGGAUGCCCACCACAGCAUGGAUGGUGUGCCAAGCGGUGCCAUGUCCUCACCAGGGAUCCGAACCGGUGAACCCCAGGCCGUGAUAAGCGGAACACGUGCACUCAACCACUGCACCACCAGGCUGGCCCCUAUUAACACGUUUUUAAUUGGAGGAAAAGCCAUGGAAGGUUAGCUUGGGGAUGGUCUCAGUGAUAACAAUGCUGAGUUGUUGACCCAGUAUCAUGGCCUCGGGUUGCCUGUCCCCAUCUGCUUCCUUGGAGGCCAGAGCUUCAGCUCCUCUGUCUGCAUCUUAAGUAAAGCUGCUCCCCUCCCCUUGCCUUCAUGUUCUCCAGCCCCAGCUGGUCCUGCUGGCUCUCACCCUCACUCUCUGGAGCCUCGAGGUCUAAGCUGCAUGGCAGAUAUGAUCACGGAAGCGGAAGCUGGUUUUGAGAGAAAUGAUAGAAAGGCUGGCACAUUGCUACUGAUUGUCUGGAGGCCAUGGAGAGAAAAAAAGGUGAAAGAUGUAACAUAACCUUGAACUUGAGAACUUGGAGGGGUGGGAGGCUGUGUCCCACUGAACAGGUCUUGGAAACAGAAGGUCUUUUCGUGCAGGAAGAAUAAAAAGCUGUUGACUACUGAGAAGCCACCUUGGCAGCAGCCACAGAUGCAGAGCAGAGCCAAGUGACAUGCAGUCGAUGUAUAAAAGAAUUCGUGGACGUUUUAUGUAAGACUAUCCCAUUUCCGCUGAUGAUAGAGGCACGCAAAGAGGCAGCUUACGUUGAAGACUUCAUUUUAGAAUCCCUUGGCCAUCUUUUCUCCAAAUCUGAAAUCCCUUUCCUUUCUGGAGCAUACCCAAGGAGAAACUCCUAAUGAAUCGUAUCAUGUGCUGUUCUGACUCCUCGCCACGAAACACAAAGAUCUCUUGUAGCCACGUGUACAGAUGGUGGUUAAUUCAGGAAAUGAAGAAAGACAGCUUGCUCCUGCUACGGUGAAUAAUGUCUUUGUUAUUUCAUUUCUGAAGGAGGCAGAUUAUUCCAUUGUGUUUUGAUGAAAUAGAUGAUCUUUCCACUUUUAUGAGAAUGAAAUAAACAAUUCUGGGGCUUAAAAAGUCUCCUGUUUAUAUAUCAGUUUCUGCCGAAGACUUUGAAGAAGUGGAUUGCGGGGUGUGGUAUGUCUCUCCCUGCCCUCUGCAAACACAGGGCCUGCGUUUUUCCUGGGGUGAAGAGCCCCAUGGCUUCACUCUGGGGUCCAAUUCAGAAUGCAGGCUUUAACUCUUCAGAGCAACGAUCUCCUGUGUGUGUAGAAGGCUUCCAGGACUUGUAAACAUCUUUCUGCGUCAGCACCAGGGCUGUGGGCACAUGUGAAACUGUGGUUGAUCCUGCCUGUGGAUUGCAGAUACCAGAACAAAAUAGAAUAUUCUGUCUCUUAUGGAGAAUCCGCUGUUCACAUUUUUGUUUAGAAACCAAGUUUUGGUUUGGUUCAGUGAUUCUAAAGCAUUUCAGAGACAACAACUGCCAUGAAGUAUGAGCUUGUGAUCCUUACUCCUUCUGAUGUAGCUUAAGGUUUCUCCCCUUCUUUAUGGACUAUGAUUUUGCGUAUCAUUUUAAAAUGGGAUAAGCAUAACAUUUAGGAUUAAAUUGCUGAUUAUUUACAUACGUGGCUUAGUGAGAGUAUCUGAGAUGGGGCUUGUUUAGCAUGAAUUGUCUCAGUUCAUGAUUCCACCUAUGAUUGUGUAGUGCAUUUAUUCAUUUACUAACAAAUCCUGUACCACUUUCACUUUUAAGUUAAUUAACAUAUAUUUAUUCUAGGAAAUGGGGAUAUAGCAGUGACCCAACCAGGCAGAAUCUCGUUACUGUAGAGUUUACUUUCUAGUGGGGAGAUACAUGAUAAAAACAUAUGUAACAUGAUAUCAGGUGCUACCAUAGAGAAAGAGAAAAUCUGGAGGUGGGGCAGAGAGAACAGACAAGGACAUGUUGCUUCAGGAGAAAGCCUGGUCCAUGGGGACCUGAGCCACAGGAGGAAGGGAGCCAGCCACCUGCAUGGGUGCAAACCCCUGGGUGUAGGCCCUGAAGGUGGAUGAAUUAGAUGCAGAAACUUAAACCGUGUCCUAUCAUUUUACUUUAUUUUUUUGAGGAAGAUUAGCCCUGAGCUAACAUUUGUGCCCGUCUUCCUCUAUUUUACAUGUGGGACACCUGCCACAGCUUGGCUUGCUAAGUGCUGCAGAGGUCCACGCCCAGGAUCCGAACCAGCGAACCCCGUGCCACCAAAACGGAGCAUACUAAGUUAACCUCUAUUUGACUGGGCCAGCCCCUAAACCAUGUCUUAUUAUUAACUUUGUGCUUUGCAUAAGCAAUCCUGAUGUGUUAUCAUAAGAUUUAUUGAUUUAUUUUUAAAGACUGGCCCUGAGCUAACAUCUGUUGCCAAUCUUUGUUGUUUUUCUUUCCUCUUCUCCCCAAAGCCCCCCAGUAUAUAGCUGUAUAUUCUAGUUGUGGGUCCUUGUGGUUGUGUUAUGGGGGACGCCACCUCAGCAUGGCUUGAUGAGCGAUGCCAUGCUUGUGCCCAGAAACCGAACCGGCAAACCCUUGGGCCACCGAAGUGGAGCAUGUGAAUGUAACCACUCAGCCAUGGGGCCAGACUCCAUCAUAAGAUUUAAACUCUAUUUCCUAUAAAACACAAAGAAAAUAAGUUCUAAACUGACAUUUUAAUAAAAACCAACUCCAGAAGGUAACCCGCUCUUCCUUCCUGAAUAUAUUGCCAUGACUCUCCUGCAAGAUGAAUUCUCCACUUUUAAAUCUAACACAAAAUGGAGAAUAGAACUGGGGAUAAAUUCCUGUUUGCCAAUAAAUGAAAAAUUCAUAAUUUUGUUUAGAAAAAUCUGCAUUAUGAAAUUCCGGUGUGCAAUCCAGUAACCAUGAUCCCCAGCCCCAGUGUGAGAUCAGCGGGUAGAGACGGAAAGCAUGCAGAGGGCCCUGUGACUCCCUGUGCGAGAGUGCAGCAGGACCUGACCAGGUGGGAAGCGUUUUCCAGAUCGCUGUGACCUGGUCUGCCUGGUGGAGAGCAAACGCUAGAAGAAAUAUUUACAGAGAUACAGGGAGAGACUAUACGUGACUUACCCCAGUGAAGUAGUUACUUCCACUUGGUUGGGAUUUAGAAUCAUUUGUGGGGAGAGCAUGCUGUAAAAGACAACACAUAAAGAGUUUUAGGAGAAGAUGUCCAUUUCUUUCAAGAUGUUUUGAUUCUUUGUAACAUAGAGGCUGUCUAGGAUAUCGUCUUAAUUUCCUCUUUCAUCUUUAGAAUUAAAAUACCUUAAAGAGAAUAGUGACAGCUGAUAGACCCAGCUGCAUGACUCUUAAUGGUUAGUCUCUGCCUUAUUUUCCUAUUCUUUCCACAGCUGGUCCCAGUAGCUUUAUAAACCUCUUAGCUCUCUCCUUAAAGUGUAAUAGUAAAAGCGAUGUUUGUCAAUUGAAAUGUGUUUCUUCUGAUCAGCUAAUUCAAUUCAACUUCUUCAAAAUGUGAAUUUAAUAAAAUGUAAAGUAUCUAUUACAAA